CCUACGGGAGGCAGCAGUGGGGAAUAUUGCACAAUGGGGGAAACCCUGAUGCAGCGACGCCGCGUGAGCGAAGAAGUAUUUCGGUAUGUAAAGCUCUAUCAGCAGGGAAGAAAAUGACGGUACCUGAGUAAGAAGCUCCGGCUAAAUACGUGCCAGCAGCCGCGGUAAUACGUAUGGAGCAAGCGUUAUCCGGAUUUACUGGGCGUAAGGGGAGCGUAGGCGGCCUGCCAGGUCUGAUGUGAAAUACCGGGGCUCAACCCCGGGGCUGCAUUGGAAACUGGCAGGCUGGAGUGCCGGAGAGGCAGGCGGAAUUCCUAGUGUAGCGGUGAAAGGCGUAGAUAUUAGGAGGAACACCAGUGGCGAAGGCGGCCGGCUGGACGGUGACUGACGCUGAGGCUCGAAAGCGUGGGGAGCAAACAGGAUUAGAUACCCCUGUAGUC
This 440-nucleotide ribosomal RNA is filed under the name uncultured bacterium. RNAcentral describes it as "partial 16S ribosomal RNA". It matches the Rfam family "Bacterial small subunit ribosomal RNA", at positions 338 to 795 of the family's 1533-position model. The record is from RNAcentral.